GUUAAAGCAGUCUCUUUUUUUAAAUUAGUUAUUACCUGUCUUGAUCUGGCUGAAGGUGGAACUACCCAUAAGUGAUGCUGCCAUUAUUAGCCAGGAAAGAGAGGUUAAUGUUGACUGUGAACCGUACUGUCAAGAAGGCGUUCUAUCAUUUUCUUCCAAGAUGUAGGAUGAUACUCAUUUAAUUUGAUGCCUAUGGUCAGAACUUUCCAGAGGUGCUUCAUUUAGAACGGUCUUUGUUUUGUCUUUUUGUAUCAUCACAUGUCCAGUAACACACAAACAUAGUUAGCACAAACUGGUAGUAAAAUGUAAAAGGGAUAUAAG
Pelobates cultripes (western spadefoot toad) is the source of this 321-nucleotide non-coding RNA. The record is from the annotation of a GenBank genome assembly. Lineage: Eukaryota; Metazoa; Chordata; Amphibia; Anura; Pelobatidae.